Molecule: RNA transcript, 5025 nt
Organism: Crotalus tigris (Tiger rattlesnake)
Lineage: Eukaryota; Metazoa; Chordata; Lepidosauria; Squamata; Viperidae
Gene name: broad substrate specificity ATP-binding cassette transporter ABCG2-like
Exons: 17
Source: RefSeq, a predicted model, not a curated record
CGGGUUUCUAGCCUGGUGCCUGAACUAUUAGAAAGCUGACUCAUUUACUUCUAUAUGUUCUUAGCUCAACGUACCCUAUUGGCAGUGGAGUUUCCUCUGAUGUCCCUGGUUAUUCUGUAUUUGUCUCUUUCUAUCAUUAAUUGCAUCGGGAUUCCUACCUGUGCAAAUAGGAACAGAGGAAUUGCCAUUCUUGAAACAGCAGGCUAUAAAUGGAGAUGUUCUUCUGCUUUCCAAACAAGCUCUUCAUGAUGGUUGGCUGGUUGGUUGCGUUUCCCAGAAAUGGAUCCAUAUUCUUUUUCAGCCUGGAUUGGCAGCCCAGGAUGGGUGCCCUUCUUUGUUCAGCUUCUUUUGUGUUUACAGCAUAGGGAUAUGGUCGAGGUCUGGAUCUACUGCACGUUUACUCCCGUUAGAAUAGAAUCUCAACUGUUUGAACAGAGCUGGAGGCAGUUGAGGGGGGGUACAUUUGCCUAAGCAUUAUCCUUAAUUUUUCUCAUAUGGGCAUGAACAUGUGGGCAACCCAGACGACUCUGAAGCUUUUCUCUUAACAUAUUUAGAGUGGGGAAUCUGGGUGCAUUGUCAAAUGCCCAUGGACUUCCUGUGCGCCUUCUGCAUUGUGCUUGAAGCAUUAUCAGCCACUGAAAUAGAGUCAGUUCUUCUUCUGUACUAGUCCCUCCCUAAGCAGACCUUUCACCCCUCCCUUAAUUGCAGCUGGAAGGGGGAGGGAUGAAUUGUGAUCUCUUUACAAAGCUGUGCAAAAGGAAUUGCUUGAAUUGAAAGAGAGAAGAAACUAACUGGUGCUCUUUGUCAUACAAAGCGGUGUCUUGGAUGCCCAGUCAGGCUCCUGAGGGUGCCCAGUCAGGCUCCUGAGGGUGCUUUUUUGAAAGCUGUAAAGGUCUACAAGUUGCAUUCCAUAAUUGAGUCCCAGAUGUGCUGUGAACACCUUAUUUUAUUUUGCUGCUUCUUCUGUGCCUCUUACGUUCAUUGAAGGAGUAAAUAUAAUCCAGAAAGAUGUCUCAGAGCUCAGAAGUCAUUGUCCCGAUGGCAGAUUGCAAUACAAAUGGUAUCCAGAAUCAGUCCUGCAGCUCAACAAAACCCAGUACUGUCGCCUUUUGUAACAUCUGCUACAGAGUGAAGACAAAGAGUGGAUUUAUAGGCUGUCGAAAAAUAGUUGAAAAAGAAAUUUUGAAAGAUAUCAGUGGAAUAAUGACACCAGGACUGAAUGCAAUUCUGGGGCCAACAGGCAGUGGCAAAUCUUCAUUACUGGAUAUUUUAGCGGCACGGAAAGAUCCUCAUGGCUUAACUGGAGCUGUUUUCAUCAAUGGUGCCCCCCAGCCUGCCAAUUUUAAAUGCAUCUCCGGCUACGUAGUACAGGAUGAUGUUGUGAUGGGGACUUUGACGGUGAGGGAAAACUUCCAGUUCUCAGCUGCGCUCAGACUACCCAAAACAGUAAAAGCUUAUGAAAAGGAGGAGAGAAUCAACCAGAUCCUCAAGGAGCUGGGAUUGACAAAAGUGGCAGAUUCAAAGGUUGGAACUCAGUUCAUUCGUGGCAUAUCAGGAGGAGAGAGGAAAAGGACCAAUAUUGGAAUGGAGCUCAUUACUGACCCGGCCAUCUUGUUCUUAGAUGAGCCAACCACUGGUCUGGAUGCCAGCACAGCCAAUGCCGUUUUGCUGCUCUUGAAAAGGAUGUCUAAGCAAGGGAAAACCAUCAUCUUUUCCAUCCAUCAACCACGCUACUCCAUCUUCAGAGUGUUUGAUAAGCUAACCUUGCUGGCUGCAGGAAGACUUUUGUAUCAUGGACCUGCUCAGAAUGCCUUAGACUACUUCAAGACCAUCGGUUAUGAGUGUGAACCAUACAAUAACCCUGCUGACUUUUUUCUGGAUGUCAUUAACGGAGACUCGACAGCUGUGGCUUCUUCUAAUGAAACUGAGAAAGAUGGUACUCAUGAUCAGACGCUGGCAGAGAAAUUGGCAGACAAGUAUUCAAGUUCUUCUUACAACCAAGAAACCAAAGCAGAAUUGGAAAAGCUGUCUUCAAGGGGCAAAACCAAAGAGAUCACUUUCCAAAAAAUCACCUAUUCCACUUCCUUCUUUCACCAGCUGAAGUGGGUCUCCAAACGGAUGUUCAAAAAUUUAAUAGGUAACCCUCAAGCCUCCAUAGCACAGUUACUGGUUACGAUUUUUCUGGGAUUAGUCGUGGGUGCCAUAUUCUUUGGUGUAACGAAUGAUGGUAAAGGUAUACAAAAUAGAAUCGGUGCCAUGUUCUUUAUGACCACUAAUCAGUGUUUCAGCAGCAUUUCAGCAAUUGAACUCUUUGUGGUGGAGAAGAAAAUAUUUAUACAUGAAUAUAUCAGUGGAUACUAUCGAACCUCUGCAUACUUCUUCUCAAAACUAAUGGCUGAUUUAAUACCUAUGAGGACUUUACCCAGCAUAAUUUUCACCUGCAUAGUUUAUUUCAUGCUAGGACUGAAACCCACUGUGGAGGCUUUCUUUAUAAUGAUGUUUACUCUGAUGAUGGUGUCAUACACUGCAACCUCGAUGGCACUUGCUAUUGCUACAGGACACAAUGUGGUUGCUGUCGCCAAUCUCCUGAUGACUAUCAGCUUUGUUUUUAUGAUUAUUUUCUCGGGUUUGUUGGUCAAUCUCACCAGUAUCAUGUCAUGGCUAUCUUGGCUCCAGUACUUCAGCAUCCCUCGAUAUGGCUUGACAGCAUUGCAGAUUAAUGAAUUUGUUGGUCUUGACUUCUGUAAUAUCCAUACAAAUAAAAACGGGAGCCCCUCCAAUUGCACAGAAGUUAGCACAAUUCAGCCGUGCACUGGAGAACAAUACCUAGAAGGCCAAGGGAUUGAUGCAACUGGUUGGGGGUUAUGGCAGAACCAUGUGGCAUUGGCUUGCAUGACCAUCAUUUUCCUUACUAUUUCUUACUUGAAGCUACAUUUCAUGAAAAAGUUCUCUUAAGUCAAUGAAGCUGUCAAGUGUCCAAUCCAGUUUGCCCAAGCCAGCAUAAUGUAAAGAGAAGAAUGAGAAAAAAAAGACUAUUGUUCUUUCAAACUUUUCUUCUUGAUUAACCAUCUCACAAACAAGAAAAGCCUUACCCUUCAGCCAAGAUGUUUGCCUUCAUACUACCCUCAGAUAUUAUUUGGUUGCAUGUCAAAAAGUCUGAAAAUCAGUGUCAAUUAUUUCUGGCUUACAAGUAUGGAGACUUCACUUGAAUAGCAUUUAUUUUAUUUAUAUUUUAAUUUUUUUUCUUCAUAUUCCUGACAUAGCCCAUGCUGAUUCACAACAUUAAAUGACAAUAAAAUUAUAUUUAAAUGAAUGGACCCAACCACAAAUAACAAUAAAACCAUCUCAUAAAUAAAAUUAACCAUUGAUAAAGAAAUAAAUACACUUCUAGAAGGUAGUGCUACCAUUUAAAGAUUUCAGGUUAUUUUUCAAAUAGUCAGAUACAGUGGUACCUCGGUACUCAUCGUUAAUUGGUUCCGGGAGGCACAAUAAUGAUGAGUAUCAAACAAUUUUUCCCCAUAAGGAAUAAUGUAGUGAGUCACAAGGCAGAUGACACUGACAAGUUCUAGUUUGUGCAUUGAGUACCAAACAAACAAUGAUUACUGGGACAAAAUGUUCACAUCACAAUGAACUGAGUACCAAAUUCAAUGAGUUUUAAAAAGUUGUGUACCAAACCACCACUGUAUGUGUUUAAUUCUCUCCCAAGUACUAAAUGGUUAUGAAAUGUUUAAUUCCAGAUUAAUCAUAUUUCUCAAUAUAUGGGUUCGCCACCACUGAUAUAAAGCGAUGACUAAAAAUGUCUUCAUGAGUAGGUAAAGAUAAAUGUAAAAAAUGAACAUUGCUUUAAGACUGAGAUAUGUACUGAAACAGAUUCCUUUGUUACUACCUUGAAUGGAUUUUUCACAUUUGGGAAGGACAAAUUUCCUAAUUGUGCCAUUGAUGAGCUUUAUAUGAUAAUGGAAAUUUUAACUUCCUCAAUCUUCAGUUUUAUCACCAAGCAUAUGUUUUCCCUUCUAUUUUCUUUGUAGAAUUUAAAACUGAGGAAAUUAAGAUUAUAUGACUAUGUUAACUUUUUAAUACUUCGGCAAUAUCUUGGUUCUUUCUUCUGGCCAAAAUUCAGUUGUAUUUUCAACACUGAAGGCUGCUAGGCAUAUAAAGAAGUAUGAUGUUGUUUCUUAUUUCAUGAAUUUUAUAUCUUUGGGUUAAUCCUACAUUGCAAAUUCAUGUACAGUAUCUAUAUACAUAUGUAUAAAAGUUCAUAGAUAAAUAAUAUUGUACUUGAAUUCAAUUGCCAACCAAGCUUUCAAACAUCUGUUUUUUAUUAUUGCAAAAAGGAUUUGGAUUGUCUAAAACUACAGAAAAGCAAUAGAUUUGAUUAUAGCGUCUUUUGAUUUCAUAGCCCAGUCUGGACUUGUUACCAGCUCUACAACACUUGAAUUAUUAUUGUUUUUGAAAAAUAUACUUUACAGUUCCAAAUCUAUAGUUUUUUAGACAAUUAAAGUAUAUUAUUAUGAUAGACAUUGGUUAUUUGUAAAAACUCUGCAAAGAAGAGAUGGAAUAUUCUGUAUUAAAAAUCAAUAGUUAAGUGUCUUAAAUUAUUAACUAGAUUCCUUGUUAUCAUAAUAUGAUUUUUAAUGUUUAUUGGACACAUCAGAAAAGAUUUAGAAAAAAUUGGCUACCAGCUCCAUUUGGCUAGAAGUAUGAACUGACAAAAGGUUAUCCAAUCGUUGUCCUGAUUUGGUUUAAUGUUCUAAAAUUUAUUAUAAGGCAUUAGUAAUAAGCUUUAAAGAUAUUAAUGUAUAAUAUAUUGUUACAAUAAUCAACAGAUAUAAUUCUAUAUAUAAAUGUCUAAUGCAAUCAUUUAUGUAAGUGUGUGCGUAACUAUCAUGCUUUUUUAACUUAUUGUAUUUUGUAUAAAUAAAUUCCAUACAGGUAGUCCUCAAUUUACAACCAUUUGUUCAGAGUUACAACAGCACUGAAAAAAAGUGACUUAUGACUGGUUUUCAUACUUACAAGCGUUGCAGC